CCACACAGGCCAGCGCUCAGUAACACUAGACUUAUUAUCACAUCAGUGAGACGAGAAAUUUGGUCCCAAUGUCUGAAGAAGCAAAGAAAUUACAGGCGAUCUAUGAGGAGCGGGAGAGCUGGUGUAUGGUGGAGAGACACCCCACACAGUACUGGUGCAGAGCCGAGAGAAAACAUUUCCCCCACCAUUUGCGAAGUGUCCUGAAUGAUCAGCCGCCGCCAUGCUAUGAAUCAAGAUGCUCCUGGGCUGUUGUAACCCCUAGACACAGGGAGAAAAGGCACUUUGCUGAUGCUGGCAAGGGACAUUUGGUGUGACUGGUAUUUGAAGCAAAAGGCGCCUGUGAGAGUUUGGAGAAAUGUGCACUGCCAUCAACAUCUGUGAUAUCCUCCUUGGAGAUCUUCCCAUUCUCAUCACUUGGCUCUCAGCUAAUUCCCCUUUUAUUUUCGCUCAUGCACAAUAAAGCCGAUUUGUGUCC
Long non-coding RNA from Rana temporaria (common frog), 475 nucleotides. RefSeq lists it as uncharacterized. The record is from RefSeq and is a predicted model, not a curated record. Lineage: Eukaryota; Metazoa; Chordata; Amphibia; Anura; Ranidae. The transcript is spliced from 2 exons.